RNAcentral lists this ribosomal RNA (406 nucleotides) under uncultured bacterium. RNAcentral's name for it is "partial 16S ribosomal RNA". It matches the Rfam family "Bacterial small subunit ribosomal RNA", at positions 30 to 526 of the family's 1533-position model. The record is from RNAcentral.
AUUGAACGCUGGCGGCAGGCCUAACACAUGCAAGUCGAACGAGUGGCGGACGGGUGAGUAAUGUCUGGGAAACUGCCUGAUGGAGGGGGAUAACUACUGGAAACGGUAGCUAAUACCGCAUACCAUCGGAUGUGCCCAGAUGGGAUUAGCUAGUAGGUGGGGUAAAGGCUCACCUAGGCGACGAUCCCUAGCUGGUCUGAGAGGAUGACCGGCCACUCGGGAACUGAGACGCGGUCCAGCCUCCUACGGUGGGCAGCAGGGGGGAUGAUUGCACAAUGGGCGCAGGCCGGAUGCAGCCAUGCCGCGUGUAUGAAGAAGUCUUUCGGGUUGUAAAGUACUUUCAGCGGGGAGUCGUUCCCCGAAGAAGAAGCACCGGCUAACUCCGUGCCAGCAGCCGCGGUAAUAC